This 492-nucleotide ribosomal RNA is filed under the name uncultured bacterium. RNAcentral's name for it is "partial 16S ribosomal RNA". It matches the Rfam family "Bacterial small subunit ribosomal RNA", at positions 29 to 507 of the family's 1533-position model. The record is from RNAcentral.
AGUGAACGCUGGCGGUAGGCCUAACACAUGCAAGUCGAACGGUAGCACAGUAAGAGCUUGUCCUUACGGGUGGCCAGUGGCGGACGGGUGCGGAACAUAUCGGAAUCUAGUUUUUCGUGGGGGAUAACGUAGGGAAAUUUACGCUAAUAUCGCAUACGACCUACGGGUGAAAGCAGGGGAUCUUCGGACCUUGCGCGAUUGAAUCAGCCGAUGUCGGAUUAGCUAGUUGGCGGGGUAAAGGCCCACCAAGGCGACGAUCCGUAGCUGGUCUGAGAGGAUGACCAGCCACACUGGAACUGAGACACGGUCCAGACUCCUACGGGAGGCAGCAGUGGGGAAUAUUGGACAAUGGGCGCAAGCCUGAUCCAGCCAUACCGCGUGGGUGAAGAAGGCCUUCGGGUUGUAAAGCGCUUUUGUUAGGAAAGAAAAGCAGCAGGUUAAUACCGCGCUGUACUGACGGUACCCGAAGAAUAAGCACCGGCUAACUACGUG